AUCAUGCACUCGUUAUUUUAAAUUUAUAUCUGACACUUAUUUGCCUUAAUUAGCACUUGGAAUGUCACAGGGGCAAUCUUUCACAAAGUGUUGAGUGCUUAUGCACUAAUAGCAGGUGUUAUUCAAAUGUCUAUAGGGUUGUUCACCAUGCAAGCGACCAUAAUACUGACAUGGUUCGGAAGGUCGAGUAGGUUAUCCAAUAAGUGGAGGAGAGGGGGGAGGGAUAACUCGAGGUUUUUAUCAGGAUGGCUAUUUACUAGGUCAGACAGUCUUU
This 274-nucleotide long non-coding RNA is filed under the name Carica papaya (papaya). RNAcentral's name for it is "long non-coding RNA (CPAP_LNC009046)". Lineage: Eukaryota; Viridiplantae; Streptophyta; Magnoliopsida; Brassicales; Caricaceae. The record is from RNAcentral.